AUUUACCUGAUAAACCAACCAACGUUGCCGUUCUGAAGCAUUCUGUCACCACAUCUUCCUUCACAAUCAUUUGGCAAAGUACAUCUUCAAAUGAGUAUCCAGAAACAUUUACCGUGAAGUGUUGCACUGUCCUCAAUUGCACUAAGAUAUCCAAUGUCACGCAGCCGAGACUGGCAAUCGCCCAUCUUUGGCCAUCGACAGUCUACAGAGUAACUAUAAUGAGCAGGAAUGCAUUUGGUACUGGCAAAAUCAGCGACCCUACUAAAAUAGUAACAAAACCAUUGGCUCCGUCGGAACUAGGUAUAAAGGCUGUAUAUGACACCAUAGAGAACCGAGUGGAUAUAACUCGGCCUGAUACCUGGAAUGGCCCACUGCCAUUUGGUCUCUGCUUUCAACUGGUAAAUGCCACCACCACUACAGACGAAAUCGACCCAAGGUUGAGAAUCGACUGUGUUGGUGUUGGGGGAGCUGUCCCAAUCCCUACUGGCUGGUCAGUGGGUAAUAUCAAAGUGCGAAGUGUUCAUCAUGGCCUCUUCAGCUUGCCAUCUGAUAUUCAUUACAAUGAAG
Lytechinus pictus (painted urchin) is the source of this 567-nucleotide long non-coding RNA. RefSeq lists it as uncharacterized. NCBI's taxonomy places the organism in Eukaryota, Metazoa, Echinodermata, Echinoidea, Temnopleuroida, Toxopneustidae. The record is from RefSeq and is a predicted model, not a curated record. The transcript is spliced from 3 exons.